AUACGUAGGUGGCAAGCGUUGUCCGGAAUAACUGGGCGUAAAGCGCAUGUAGACGGCAUGAUAAGCCAAAUGUGAAAUGUAGGGGCUCAACCCCUGCACUGCGAUUGGAACUGUCAAGCUUGAGUGCAGGAGAGGCAAAUGGAAUUCCCAGUGUAGCAGUGAAAUGCGUAGAGAUUGGGAGGAACACCAGUGGCGAAGGCGAUUUGCUGGACUGCAACUGACGUUGAGAUGCGAAAGCUAGGGGAGCAAACGGGAUUAGAUACCCCGGUAGUUCUAGCCGUAAACGAUGGAUACUAGGUGUAGAGGGUAUCGACCCCUUCUGUGCCGCAGCGAACGCAAUAAGUAUCCCGCCUGGGGAGUACGGUCGCAAGACUGAAACUCAAAGGAAUUGACGGGG
Molecule: ribosomal RNA, 397 nt
Filed under: uncultured bacterium
Lineage: Bacteria
Description: partial 16S ribosomal RNA
Rfam family: Bacterial small subunit ribosomal RNA
Source: RNAcentral